RNAcentral lists this transfer RNA (71 nucleotides) under Ictidomys tridecemlineatus (thirteen-lined ground squirrel). RNAcentral describes it as "Spermophilus tridecemlineatus (thirteen-lined ground squirrel) tRNA". It matches the Rfam family "tRNA". From Rfam's summary of the family: Transfer RNA (tRNA) molecules are approximately 80 nucleotides in length. Their secondary structure includes four short double-helical elements and three loops (D, anti-codon, and T loops). Lineage: Eukaryota; Metazoa; Chordata; Mammalia; Rodentia; Sciuridae. The record is from Rfam by way of RNAcentral.
GGGGAUGUAGCUUAGUGUAGAGCACUUGCCUAGUGUGCUUGAGGCCAGCGGUUCAAUUCCCAGUAUACCCA